RNAcentral lists this unclassified non-coding RNA (331 nucleotides) under soil metagenome. RNAcentral's name for it is "partial contains 5.8S ribosomal RNA, internal transcribed spacer 2, and large subunit ribosomal RNA". The stretch from base 1 to 120 matches the Rfam family "5.8S ribosomal RNA", at positions 35 to 154 of the family's 154-position model. The record is from RNAcentral.
GAUGAAGAACGUAGCGAAAUGCGAUAAGUAAUGUGAAUUGCAGAAUUCAGUGAAUCAUCGAAUCUUUGAACGCACAUUGCGCCCCCUGGUAUUCCGGGGGGCAUGCCUGUUCGAGCGUCAUUUCACCACUCAAGCCUCGCUUGGUAUUGGGCAACGCGGUCCGCCGCGUGCCUCAAAUCGUCCGGCAGGGUCUUCUGUCCCCUAAGCGUUGUGGAAACUAUUCGCUAAAGGGUGUUCGGGAGGCUACGCCGUAAAACAACCCCAUUUCUAAGGUUGACCUCGGAUCAGGUAGGGAUACCCGCUGAACUUAAGCAUAUCAAUAAGCGGAGGA